This is a non-coding RNA of Capsicum annuum, 106 nucleotides long. The record is from Rfam. Lineage: Eukaryota; Viridiplantae; Streptophyta; Magnoliopsida; Solanales; Solanaceae.
CUACAUUAUUUAGGAAUUGCAUCAAUUUCUUCUUAAAUCUCAACCAUGCUUCAUUAAAUGAAUCACCACUUGUUUGCGAAAAAAUUGUAAUCUCAUCUCUCAAUUG